AGGCAGAAACAAGUCAGGGACAGAUCCUGGCACAAGGAAGCUAAAAUGGUGCCUUUAACAUAGGGGAAGGGGCAGGGCUGUAGAGUUGAGGCCAUCCCUUUAACAGCAGUGGGACUUUGUCACACACACACCCUCUGAGUCUUGGUGAGAAACUAGUCCCAGGGCCCCUUGUUGUCUCUGCCACCCCUGUU
Long non-coding RNA from Sapajus apella (tufted capuchin), 191 nucleotides. RefSeq lists it as uncharacterized. The transcript has 2 exons. The record is from RefSeq and is a predicted model, not a curated record. Lineage: Eukaryota; Metazoa; Chordata; Mammalia; Primates; Cebidae.